UACGGGGGGGGCAAGCGUUGUUCGGAAUUACUGGGCGUAAAGGGCGCGUAGGCGGUUUGCUAAGUUGAAUGUGAAAACUCUGGGCUUAACCCAGAGCCUGCAUUCAAUACUGGCAGGCUAGAGUUCUGGAGGGGAUAGCGGAAUUCCUGGUGUAGCGGUGAAAUGCGCAGAUAUCAGGAGGAACACCGGUGGCGAAGGCGGGUCUCUGGGCCGAUACUGACGCUGAGGAGCGAAAGCGUGGGGAGCGAACAGG
RNAcentral lists this ribosomal RNA (253 nucleotides) under uncultured bacterium. Its description in RNAcentral is "partial 16S ribosomal RNA". It matches the Rfam family "Bacterial small subunit ribosomal RNA", at positions 524 to 776 of the family's 1533-position model. The record is from RNAcentral.